AAUCACCAAUUCUAGGCAUCAAAAAUCAUAAAACAAACUAAUGUUACAAUGAUCAAAUAACAUUCAUUUUGUUCUAUUUUUCUUGUUUUAGUGUUUGUACAUGUUCUCAUUGUAACAAAAGAAAGGGAGGAGACUGCAAAAUCGAAACAAGUUCGGAAUAUGUCUUCAUCGUUGCCCGCACGCUCAUGGACCAUCUUGGAUCUGCUCUGCUGAACUCACAACACCGACACGACAGAUUCCGUUCGUGAUGUUUAACACCAACCCAUCACCGUGACGACACCGUCUCAACGUCAUCCUCGCGCUUCCAUUCAAAUCGCAACACCAGCGUUCACUAUAUGCCGACGAAGCAGCGCAACCUUCAUCAACGCUUAAAAUUUCAUUCCGUAACUGAUUCCAACAACAUAUCGACAUAACUCAGAACGCUGCUACAAGCCUCAAUACCAACCGGCAAUAAUCAGAGUCAAUCAUCACACGGCGUCGACAACGAGUUAAACCUUCCCCGCGUCGGAUCCAAAUCAACCGCCAUUAUCUCCUACCGCAAACUGCAAAUCGCAUCUCCUUCGAUUCAACACGACAGCAACACAACCUUCAGCCAAUUCCAACAAAAUCCGCAUAAUAAUACUUUUCGGUGGAGUCUUCUUUCCUUGAAAUAAAUGUGUGGUUGCUUUGUUAUGGAUCACCUGCAUCGUCUCCGCUAGAAUCUCAAUCGGUAUAGUGUUACUAUUGGAGAUGUCUGAGGAACCCCUUCCAACGUUUCCACCUAUGAAGAGAGAUGCAACAUUAUUUUUUUCAGCGACAAAGCCUCCGUUGAAGAUCAAACUAUGGAACACUCAAACUUUCGAGCAUCUACAGAGGCACUUGAUAGGAUGGUUAGACGAAAACAUUCUUGAGGGUGAAAAGAUAAGGAAAAUUGAAAGGCAGGUCACAGAGAAAGGCCCAAAUGGAGUAGUAACUCGUUCUUGGAGAGCCAUAAAAAAUGACGCUGGUGUCCUUAUGAUGAUGCUAGGACCACACGAUAUUGUGUUGAUGGUUGUAAUCUCUUAGAAUAUGUUUGUGUUGAUGGUCGUUUUAAGUGUUUCAUGUGUGGUUGUUUUAUUUGUAGCGGUCUUUAUUUCGAUGUCAUUGAAUGUUGUAUUGGUAAUGUGAAAUGUUGUUUUAGUUAUGUUUAAUGUGAAAUGUUGUUUUAGUUA
Vicia villosa (hairy vetch) is the source of this 1190-nucleotide long non-coding RNA. RefSeq lists it as uncharacterized. The transcript has 2 exons. NCBI's taxonomy places the organism in Eukaryota, Viridiplantae, Streptophyta, Magnoliopsida, Fabales, Fabaceae. The record is from RefSeq and is a predicted model, not a curated record.